RNAcentral lists this ribosomal RNA (519 nucleotides) under uncultured eukaryote. Its description in RNAcentral is "SSU rRNA". It matches the Rfam family "Eukaryotic small subunit ribosomal RNA", at positions 1161 to 1699 of the family's 1831-position model. The record is from RNAcentral.
AGGGCACCACCAGGAGUGGAGCCUGCGGCUUAAUUUGACUCAACACGGGGAAACUUACCCGGCCUGGACACUGGAAGGAUUGACAGAUUGAGAGCUCUUUCUUGAUUCAGUGGGUGGUGGUGCAUGGCCGUUCUUAGUUGGUGGAGCGAUUUGUCUGGUUAAUUCCGAUAACGAACGAGACUCUAGCCUAUUAAAUAGGCUCUCGGCUUUUAAACGCCGGGAGGACUUCUUAGAGGGACAGGUGGCGGUUCAGCCGCACGAAAGAGAGCAAUAACAGGUCUGUGAUGCCCUUUGUUGUCCGGGGCCGCACGCGCGCUACACUGAAGAGAUCAGCGUGCUUUACGUUCCUGCUCCGACCGGAGUGGGGAACCCAGUGAACCUUCUUCGUGAUUGGGAUAGAAGAUUGUAAUUAUUCUUCUUGAACGAGGAAUUCCCAGCAAAUGCGAGUCAUAAGCUCGCGUUGAUUACGUCCCUGCCCUUUGUACACACCGCCCGUCGCUACUACCGAUUGAACGAUUU